UGGGGCUCAGCGAGUUU
RNAcentral lists this microRNA (17 nucleotides) under Homo sapiens (human). RNAcentral describes it as "hsa-miR-4283". Lineage: Eukaryota; Metazoa; Chordata; Mammalia; Primates; Hominidae. The record is from miRBase by way of RNAcentral.